GAUGAACGCUGGCGGCGUGCCUAAUACAUGCAAGUCGAGCAAAGCGGGGACGGGUGAGUAACACGUGGAUAACCUCCUAUAAGACUGGGAAAACUUCGGGAAACCGGAGCUAAACCGGAACCUUAUAGAUGGAUCCGCGCUGCAUUAGCUAGUUGGUAAGGGAACGGCUUAAAAAGGCAACGUUGCAUAGCCGACCUGAGAGGGUGAUCGGCCAGUAUGCAACUUAGAAACGGUCCAGACUCCUGCGGGAGGCAGCAGUAGGGAAUCUUCCGCAAUGUGCGAAAGCCUGACGGAGCGACGCCGCGUUAGUGAUGUAGGUCUUCGGAUCGUAAAACUCUGUUAUUAGGGAAGCGGUACCUAAUCAGAAAGCCACGGCGAACUCCGUGCCAGCAGCCGCGGUAAUUC
This 405-nucleotide ribosomal RNA is filed under the name uncultured bacterium. Its description in RNAcentral is "partial 16S ribosomal RNA". It matches the Rfam family "Bacterial small subunit ribosomal RNA", at positions 28 to 526 of the family's 1533-position model. The record is from RNAcentral.